Long non-coding RNA from Neofelis nebulosa (Clouded leopard), 644 nucleotides. RefSeq lists it as uncharacterized. Lineage: Eukaryota; Metazoa; Chordata; Mammalia; Carnivora; Felidae. The transcript is spliced from 3 exons. The record is from RefSeq and is a predicted model, not a curated record.
AAGCUGGCAUUUAUUUGUAACAAUCUUGUCCAUGAAAGAUAUUUAUAACUAUUUUAGUUUGACUUUUACUUCUUAUUUUCUUUAAAUUUUGCAGAGUUCAUAUAAAGUAAAGACCUGGGCUGAGAAUAGAAAGUGAGUAAGGAUGCAGGUGUGUAUAUGCCUUUCAAAUACUUGGUUGGAAACAGAAGACUGUUCCUGUCUUGCUCAUAUGGCCGGUUGUGAGUGAAUCAACCCCAGAAUCUCACCCUCAGAUGUACUUUCGGGGACCACUUCUGUCACCACUUCUCUGAGGUGAGAAGAGAAGCACCUCAAGAAAGCAGAGCUUAAGAAAGAUUUGUGUGCAGUGACUUAUUAAGAGAGUACUCUUCAAAAGAAAGGAAAGCAGGAAAGGGCAGAGGAAGAAGAUAGGCAAAGAUGUGAUCUCAAAAGAAGUCUAGCCUUAGCUUGAUCCCAUAGGGAGAUCUGGGAUGUGAAUGGUACCACAGAAUUAUUCCUUUUAUGGGACAGUCCCUCUGCGAGACCAAAAUGGAAUGGCUUGACUUUUGUAACCUUGUAUUUGUUACUUAACUGUGUGGGCCUCCCAAGUUGGUUGAUUCUUAUAACCCAGAUAUUACUGGGCAAAGAGACUCACUGACAGGAGUUCC